GAUGAAGAACGUAGCGAAAUGCGAUAAGUAGUGUGAAUUGCAGAAUUCAGUGAAUCAUCGAAUCUUUGAACGCACAUUGCGCCCUUUGGUAUUCCAAAGGGCAUGCCUGUUCGAGCGUCAUUUGUAACCUCAAGCUUUGCUUGGUGUUGGGCGUCUUGUCUCCAGUUCGCUGGAGACUCGCCUUAAAGUAAUUGGCAGCCGGCCUACUGGUUUCGGAGCGCAGCACAAGUCGCGCUCUCUUCCAGCCAAGGUCAGCAUCCACAAAGCCUUUUUUCAACUUUUGACCUCGGAUCAGGUAGGGAUACCCGCUGAACUUAAGCAUAUCAAUAAGCGGAGGA
RNAcentral lists this unclassified non-coding RNA (338 nucleotides) under soil metagenome. RNAcentral describes it as "partial contains 5.8S ribosomal RNA, internal transcribed spacer 2, and large subunit ribosomal RNA". The stretch from base 1 to 120 matches the Rfam family "5.8S ribosomal RNA", at positions 35 to 154 of the family's 154-position model. The record is from RNAcentral.